Non-coding RNA from Phrynosoma platyrhinos (Desert horned lizard), 72 nucleotides. The record is from the annotation of a GenBank genome assembly. Lineage: Eukaryota; Metazoa; Chordata; Lepidosauria; Squamata; Phrynosomatidae.
GCCAGCAUGGCGUAGUGGUUUGAGCAUUGGACCUCAACUCUGGAGACCAGGGUUCGAUUCCCAGCUUAGUCA